This 666-nucleotide long non-coding RNA is filed under the name Homo sapiens (human). Its description in RNAcentral is "HSALNT0359204". Lineage: Eukaryota; Metazoa; Chordata; Mammalia; Primates; Hominidae. The record is from RNAcentral.
CAGGAGGAAUACGGGAGGAAGACAAUUAUUUGCAGAGGUGUCAGGUUUGCUAAUCCUGUCCCCAGUGAGCAAGAUACCUUUGCAAGGGGAUUUGAUGCAGAUGAUCAUCAUGGCUUGGAGAAACAAUGAAGGAAGCAAAGUAUGCCAUCUAUGCUGCGGGAGGUAACUCCAGAAGACCCCAGAGAGUGAAUAGGGAGGGAAGGUUUAAAAGAAUCUACUCAGAACUGAAGGAGCCAAGACUCUGUGGGUGCAUUUGAAACAACCUGGCAUUUUUGGGAAACUGCCAGGAGUUCCACAAGGCUGAAGAGCAGCCUGAGAAGGGAGAAGGAACGAGUUUGGACUUUUAACUGAGGGCCAUUGGAAACUACUGAAGAGUUUUAGGCAGCAUAAGAACUACUAGAUUUUCAUUGUGGGAGGAUCCUCAGCAGCAGCCUCAGAAAGGAGAUUGGGGAAGGAGAUCCCUAGUCAGGGAGACCAAGAAGACUACUGGAAAAAAACAGGGGAAUCCUCAAGGACCUGCAAACAAGAAACCAAAUCCCCCCACUCCCCCCAGCCAAAAUGUGUUCAUUUUGACCAGCUGUGUGUGUGUUUUAAAUUAAAAGUUUGAAUUAGAAAGCAAGUAGGAUAAAUUUAUAUACUUAGAUGUAUAAAUUUAAAUACCUGGCC